This 497-nucleotide ribosomal RNA is filed under the name uncultured bacterium. Its description in RNAcentral is "partial 16S ribosomal RNA". It matches the Rfam family "Bacterial small subunit ribosomal RNA", at positions 28 to 506 of the family's 1533-position model. The record is from RNAcentral.
GACGAACGCUGGCGGCGUGCCUAAUACAUGCAAGUCGAACGAGAGCGACCGGUGCUUGCACUGGUCAAUCUAGUGGCGAACGGGUGAGUAACACGUGGGUAACCUGCCCAUCAGAGGGGGAUAACAUUCGGAAACGGAUGCUAAAACCGCAUAGGUCUUCGAACCGCAUGGUUUGAAGAGGAAAAGAGGCGCAAGCUUCUGCUGAUGGAUGGACCCGCGGUGCAUUAGCUAGUUGGUGAGGUAACGGCUCACCAAGGCCGUGAUGCAUAGCCGACCUGAGAGGGUGAUCGGCCACAUUGGGACUGAGACACGGCCCAAACGCCUACGGGAGGCAGCAGUAGGGAAUCUUCCGCAAUGGACGCAAGUCUGACGGAGCAACGCCGCGUGAGUGAAGAAGGGUUUCGGAUCGUAAAACUCUGUUGUUAGAGAAGAAUAAGUGCUAGAGUAACUGUUAGCGCCUUGACGGUAUCUAACCAGAAAGCCACGGCUAACUACGU